RNAcentral lists this transfer RNA (71 nucleotides) under Actinomycetota bacterium. Its description in RNAcentral is "tRNA-OTHER". It matches the Rfam family "tRNA". Rfam says of the family: Transfer RNA (tRNA) molecules are approximately 80 nucleotides in length. Their secondary structure includes four short double-helical elements and three loops (D, anti-codon, and T loops). Lineage: Bacteria; Bacillati; Actinomycetota. The record is from RNAcentral.
GGGGAUGGGCGCCGGUCGUGUCAGCGAGUCUCCAAAACUCGCGUGUGAAGGUUCGAGUCCUUCCAUCCCUG